RNAcentral lists this ribosomal RNA (429 nucleotides) under Gemmatimonadota bacterium. Its description in RNAcentral is "Gemmatimonadetes bacterium partial 16S ribosomal RNA". It matches the Rfam family "Bacterial small subunit ribosomal RNA", at positions 355 to 776 of the family's 1533-position model. Lineage: Bacteria; Pseudomonadati; Gemmatimonadota. The record is from RNAcentral.
UAGGGAAUCUUCGGCAAUGGACGAAAGUCUGACCGAGCAACGCCGCGUGAGUGAAGAAGGUUUUCGGAUCGUAAAACUCAGUUGUUAGAGAAGAACAAGGACGUUAGUAACUGAACGUCCCCUGACGGUAUCUAACCAGAAAGCCACGGCUAACUACGUGCCAGCAGCCGCGGUAAUACGUAGGUGGCAAGCGUUGUCCGGAUUUAUUGGGCGUAAAGCGAGCGCAGGCGGUUUCUUAAGUCUGAUGUGAAAGCCCCCGGCUCAACCGGGGAGGGUCAUUGGAAACUGGGAGGCUUGAGUGCAGAAGAGGAGAGUGGAAUUCCAUGUGUAGCGGUGAAAUGCGUAGAUAUAUGGAGGAACACCAGUGGCGAAGGCGGCUCUCUGGUCUGUAACUGACGCUGAGGCUCGAAAGCGUGGGGAGCAAACAGG